This 272-nucleotide ribosomal RNA is filed under the name uncultured bacterium. Its description in RNAcentral is "partial 16S ribosomal RNA". It matches the Rfam family "Bacterial small subunit ribosomal RNA", at positions 332 to 619 of the family's 1533-position model. The record is from RNAcentral.
CAGAUCCUACGGGGGGCAGCAGUGGGGAAUAUUGGGCAAUGGGCGCAAGCCUGGCCCAGCAACGCCGCGUGAAGGAAGAAGGCUUUCGGGUUGUAAACUUCUUUUCUCAGGGACGAAGAAAGUGACGGUACCUGAGGAAUAAGCCACGGCUAACUACGUGCCAGCAGCCGCGGUAAUACGUAGGUGGCAAGCGUUAUCCGGAUUUACUGGGUGUAAAGGGCGUGUAGGCGGGAAAGCACAUCAGAUGUGAAAACCAUGGGCUCAAACUGUGG